This is a long non-coding RNA of Zea mays, 2169 nucleotides long. RefSeq lists it as uncharacterized. Lineage: Eukaryota; Viridiplantae; Streptophyta; Magnoliopsida; Poales; Poaceae. The record is from RefSeq and is a predicted model, not a curated record. The transcript is spliced from 3 exons.
AUCCUAUGUGGCCGCCCCCGCCAUCCUCGUGUGUGCCCCACUCUCCGUCGAUGGGCGACUCCUUCAUGGUCGCCCGUCAUCCUCACCCCGCUCCCCGCAGUCCCCUUCCAUCGACGACACCAUCCUCGCCCCUGCCACGUUCUCUGUAGAUGGAAGGCACCAUUCAUGGAUCCUGCGCGGCCGCCCCCACCAUCCUCGCGUGCAGCCCAGGGUUAUAUAGCAACGCCCGCAGAGCACACGCCCCCGUCGCCCGCUUCCCUCCCUCCUCGCCUGCGUUGUGCAGCGUGACACCUCUCCUCCUCGUCCUGCAGCUGCAGACCUGCAUUGUUGCCUCCUCGCUCCCCGCCUCGAUCUCCACCACCAUAGCCACCGCGCGUGCCCAUGGACUAUAGGCCUAUAGCUAGCACCCGCGACCUGGCAGAUGACGAUGAGGAGGCUCCUUCGGUGCGUGUCCACGGGGGCGUGUAGCGUGGUGCCGGGCGUCGUGGCAGAUUCGAUGCCGGCGUUGCCGGUGGCCACUAGUGGGGCACGUGCCGGUGGAGGUCGACGCGGAGGGGGGGAUACACAACGGUUAGUCGUCCCUGUCGAUCUGCUCUGCUACGUCGCGUCGCGCAGGAGUACGGGUACGUGUGUCAGGGGCUGCUCCACAUCCCCUGCCUCGUGGCGCAUUUCGCCGCCUCCUCGGCACGCUUGUAGGGACCGCCGCCGUCGCCGACCCCGACGGUGGGCUCACGCUCGCUUGCUUCGUCGCAGUCGUCUGAUACUAUGAGGCCGUGGUGGAGGAGGUUACAGCGGCAGCGGUGGACAAUUUGGCUGGUUGGAUCUUAUUUGUGCGCUCGUAUUGUGUGUUUUAUGUAGAGCCAGUAGGACGUGGAGGGUCGCUCUUAGUCGUCAAGAGGUUCGUCUCUUUCUGAUGUGUUUGCAUACAAAUACAAAAGUUUACAGUUUGCCAACGUCGUUCGUUCUAGCAAUUUUCUAUCUACUAAAUCAUAAGCAUAUUAGUUGUUUGGCAUAGUACAUCAAAUGCAGAAUCUAAUUAAUGGACUAGAAAAAAUAUGAUCAGUUGUGCUAUGAAUGGUUUCUCUCUGUUUCCUAGAUGCAGAUCAUGGCUCUUAUUCUUUGCCGGUUUAAAUCGAUUGUAGUGACUUGUUUAGUUCUGAUCUACAGCCUUUUGAGAGAUACAUAUCUGGGUUUGUAUAUUUGUCCAUUUCAUAUGUCAAUGUAUUACCUUGUCAGACAACUUUAAGAUUUCUAAAAUUGCCAAAACGAUUGGAAGAUCAAACAUCGAGAAUUCACUUUCUACAAGUGGAACAAUUGCAUAUCAAUGCAUUGAUCUAUUGACAUGUGCCCAUAUUUCUAUUUAUUUGUCUUCAAGUUCUAGAUAUCUCUCUUAUUCUGAUUUCUGUAGACACAAUUUGCUGCAGAUUUCUGUUUUCAAAUUGUUCCGGUACCAUGUUCCAUUAGCACUAAUAUUUUAUUUUAAUUAAAAAGGAUCUAGCUUAGCAUGAGUGAAAAGAUAUUUAAGUUAGUUUAAAAUAAUCUGACUUAGCAUGAGUGAAAAUACAUGUGAGUCAUUUCUAUGACUUCUACUGUUGAAACAUGUGGUAUGUAGCAUGUCUAAAAUAACAAUAUGCAACUUUCAUGAAUUAUGCAAUUUUUAAGCAGCAUGACAUGUGAGGACUGGUUUUUCUGUUUCAAUGAAGGGGGCACCACGACAGGUGGUGGCGGGCGCGGGGGUGGACACGAAGGCAAUUGGGUUUGCCCUGACGUGAGUUACACAAGAACAACUUGAUCAUGCUAAAGAAGCAACCAAAUCUGCAAUUUUGAUGAACUUGGAUCAAGGGUACAAUGUUCUUGCUCCUAAUCAAAUCCUAAUUGUAUGACCUGUUUCCCUAAAGUGUUCUUUACAGUACAUACUUUUCCUAUUUUGUAAUCCAUAGCAUCUAAAGAUAAAGACAAGUUUAAAAUAGGAGAUGUGACUAGGUUGAUUAUUAUUGAAACAAUGUUCACUCUCCACUAUUAUGGUGAAUUGUUAAAUGUAUUUACAUGUCGAUGGAGCGUCAGAAUGUUCAGUUGUACCACAUAUUUGGGUGUGGAUAACUUUCACUGCUGUUAUGUACAUAAUAUUGUGUGGCUGAACUUUUAAAUUACCAUUUGUACUUUAUUGUG